UUUGUAUCUUUAGGUGGUCCGACAGUUAAGCGUCCUGUGGAUGUAUCAGAGAAGGAAAUUGAUGCCGCGGGAGAUGGCGAUGUGUUGGUCAUUUUGGAUCUCAGAGCCGAUCAAUCAUUGAUCGAAGCUGGAGUGGCUCGAGAGGUUGUAAACAGAAUCCAGAAAUUACGGAAGACUGCUCAGCUUGAACCUACAGACUUAAUUGAUGUUUACUACGAGUCUGUAGACAACAGCAGCAAUACACUUGAAGAAAUUUUGCAGUCACAGGAUCAGUAUAUUAGGGACGUGCUUGGUAAUUCACUAGUUCCAAAGGCAGCGGCAACAAAGAUAUGGUAGAAGAUAGCGACAGAGUUUGAAGGUAUGUGCAAAGAUCUUCUCCUCCGUCGCCGUCCGCGACAAAGCUGUUGGGUGCAUCCGUCCAUCAUCUUUAGAUCUGAGUGAAGAGGGCAUCCGUCCAUCUCAAAAGGAUAUGGAUGACCAUCUGAAGGUAUGCAGGUUUCUUCCCAAACUUAACGACGAGAUACUAGGUGAAAGAAAUGCUCUCUACAAGGAAAGGUUGACCAGCCUAGAGAAUUUAGUACUGAUCAUGAGGUGAUCGACGCAGACUACCGCGACCCGGUGGGCGUCGUGCUCUUCAACAACUCGGAGGCGGACUUUGCUGUGAAGCCCGGCGACUGCGUCACACAGAUGAUUGUCCAGGUGAUUGCGAUGCCGGAGGUCGCCGAGGUGGAGGACCUUGACGUCACCG
Molecule: long non-coding RNA, 748 nt
Organism: Triticum aestivum (bread wheat)
Lineage: Eukaryota; Viridiplantae; Streptophyta; Magnoliopsida; Poales; Poaceae
Exons: 7
Source: RefSeq, a predicted model, not a curated record